GGUGUCCAAACAAUUAAAACGUCAUCGUUUCGGCAUUUGCCGGCUCUAGUGCGUCGCCGUAUUUUUAUACAUAUGGAAGCCAUCAAACCCAAGCUGUUCUCGCUUCUCUAGCCUCUCGGUGUGUCCUCUCUCAUUCUCUAACCCUAACACCACCGCUCCAAACGUAUCCCUACCGCCAUCUUCUCCUCCCACUCUACAGAAAGGAAAAGCAUAAUCGAGAAAAAACAAGGGAAACGAAUUGAAGCUCCGGUUACCCACCCACUCCUUACAUGUCCAAAUCGAGUAAGGUUUCUUGUUCUUUUUUAAAUUUUCUUCUCUAUCCUCUCAAUUGUUAAUUUUUCUUCCCUGCCAAUACCUUACAACCUCAAAAUUGACUUUUGUUGUUAUCCGGUGAUGCCUAAUCUAUGGAUUUUGGCUGGUGUUCAAUGAUUUUAGGUAUUCCUUUUCUUUUUAUUGUUUGUCAUAGUUCUUGUCAAUAUGAUUACCUCUAUGAUUAUGAGCGACUUCACCAAUCAGAUGAUGAACUAAUUUCAGGAACAAGAUAAGGGUUUAUCUUCAUUAUUAUUAUCUUACUGAUGUCUUCAAUACUAAUAAUCUUUAUGAGGACGACGCUUCUGAUAUGUUUAAAUCUAUGCAAUUCAUAUUUGCCUAUGUCUGUCUGUCCAUUUGGUUUCUGAUUUUAAUUGGCUGUAGUCUUUUGGUCACUGAGAAACAGUUGAAAUUCUUCUUAAGCUCUUCUGCUUUUGAUCAUGCAGUACUGCUGGUGAAAAAUAUGCAAGAUCCAAGGAUGCCACCAUCAGGGGAAAUUACUAACUCCAAGCCACGCAAAAAGAAAGCCUCAACCUCUAGGACUUCCUUGAUCCCAUUACAAGGUAAUGACACCCGACAGGCACAGGGCCCUAUAAGAACAAGCCGGAGGGCCUCCAAAAGGAGCUUGAAGAAUGAAGGCUCUCCACUGAUUCAGCAACAGGAGAGGUCAAAUUCAGAUUCAUUGCCUGACUCAUCUUCAUCAGGAAAUGAAUAUCGUGCGCUCAGAAGGAAAUAUUUGCUGUUGGAGGAAGAAAGC
This 1066-nucleotide unclassified non-coding RNA is filed under the name Hevea brasiliensis (rubber tree). The record is from RNAcentral. Lineage: Eukaryota; Viridiplantae; Streptophyta; Magnoliopsida; Malpighiales; Euphorbiaceae.